This 473-nucleotide ribosomal RNA is filed under the name uncultured bacterium. RNAcentral's name for it is "bacterial SSU rRNA". It matches the Rfam family "Bacterial small subunit ribosomal RNA", at positions 355 to 825 of the family's 1533-position model. The record is from RNAcentral.
UGGGGAAUUUUGGACAAUGGGCGAAAGCCUGAUCCAGCAAUGCCGCGUGAGUGAAGAAGGCCUUCGGGUUGUAAAGCUCUUUUGUCAGGGAAGAAACGGUGAGAGCUAAUAUCUCUUGCUAAUGACGGUACCUGAAGAAUAAGCACCGGCUAACUACGUGCCAGCAGCCGCGGUAAUACGUAGGGUGCAAGCGUUAAUCGGAAUUACUGGGCGUAAAGCGUGCGCAGGCGGUUUUGUAAGUCUGAUGUGAAAUCCCCGGGCUCAACCUGGGAAUUGCAUUGGAGACUGCAAGGCUAGAAUCUGGCAGAGGGGGGUAGAAUUCCACGUGUAGCAGUGAAAUGCGUAGAUAUGUGGAGGAACACCGAUGGCGAAGGCAGCCCCCUGGGUCAAGAUUGACGCUCAUGCACGAAAGCGUGGGGAGCAAACAGGAUUAGAUACCCCCGUAGUCCCGUGAGCGGGCUGGCAAGGCGCAU